RNAcentral lists this small nuclear RNA (107 nucleotides) under Notamacropus eugenii (tammar wallaby). Lineage: Eukaryota; Metazoa; Chordata; Mammalia; Diprotodontia; Macropodidae. The record is from RNAcentral.
GUACUUGCUUCAGCAGCACUUAUACUAAAAUUGGAAUGAUGCAGAGAAGAUUAGCAUGGCACCUGUGCAAGGAUGACACGCAAAUUCAUGAGGUGUUCCAUAUUUUA